RNAcentral lists this ribosomal RNA (465 nucleotides) under Vreelandella stevensii. RNAcentral describes it as "partial 16S ribosomal RNA". It matches the Rfam family "Bacterial small subunit ribosomal RNA", at positions 338 to 795 of the family's 1533-position model. The record is from RNAcentral. Lineage: Bacteria; Pseudomonadati; Pseudomonadota; Gammaproteobacteria; Oceanospirillales; Halomonadaceae.
CCUACGGGAGGCUGCAGUGGGGAAUAUUGGACAAUGGGGGGAACCCUGAUCCAGCCAUGCCGCGUGUGUGAAGAAGGCCCUCGGGUUGUAAAGCACUUUCAGUGAGGAAGAACGCCUGGUGGUUAAUACCCAUCAGGAAAGACAUCACUCACAGAAGAAGCACCGGCUAACUCCGUGCCAGCAGCCGCGGUAAUACGGAGGGUGCGAGCGUUAAUCGGAAUUACUGGGCGUAAAGCGCGCGUAGGUGGCUUGAUAAGCCGGUUGUGAAAGCCCCGGGCUCAACCUGGGAACGGCAUCCGGAACUGUCAAGGUAGAGUGCAGGAGAGGAAGGUAGAAUUCCCGGUGUAGCGGUGAAAUGCGUAGAGAUCGGGAGGAAUACCAGUGGCGAAGGCGGCCUUCUGGACUGACACUGACACUGAGGUGCGAAAGCGUGGGUAGCAAACAGGAUUAGAUACCCUAGUAGUC